This 420-nucleotide ribosomal RNA is filed under the name uncultured bacterium. Its description in RNAcentral is "bacterial SSU rRNA". It matches the Rfam family "Bacterial small subunit ribosomal RNA", at positions 358 to 774 of the family's 1533-position model. The record is from RNAcentral.
GGGAUAUUGGUCAAUGGGGGUAACCCUGAACCAGCCAUGCCGCGUGAGGGAAUGAGGCCCUACGGGUCGUGAACCUCUUUUGCCCGGGGACAAUACGGAGCACGAGAUGCCCCGUUGAGGGUACCGGGCGAAUAAGCAUCGGCUAACUCCGUGCCAGCAGCCGCGGUAAUACGGAGGAUGCGAGCGUUAUCCGGAUUCAUUGGGUUUAAAGGGUGCGCAGGCGGCUCGGCAAGUCAGCGGUGAAAGCCCGGGGCCCAACCCCGGAAGUGCCGUUGAUACUGUCGGGCUGGAAUGCGGUCGAGGCGGGCGGAACGUGGCGUGUAGCGGUGAAAUGCGUAGAUAUGCCACAGAACGCCGAUAGCGAAGGCAGCUCGCCAGGCCUGCAUUGACGCUCGGGCACGAAAGCGUGGGGAUCGAACA